RNAcentral lists this ribosomal RNA (274 nucleotides) under uncultured bacterium. RNAcentral describes it as "partial 16S ribosomal RNA". It matches the Rfam family "Bacterial small subunit ribosomal RNA", at positions 523 to 796 of the family's 1533-position model. The record is from RNAcentral.
AUACGGAGGGGGCUAGCGUUGUUCGGAAUUACUGGGCGUAUAGCGCGCGUAGGCGGAUUGAUCAGUCAGGGGUGAAAUCCCGGAGCUUAACUCCGGAACUGCCUUUGAUACUGUCAAUCUUGAGUUCGAGAGAGGUGAGUGGAAUUCCUAGUGUAGAGGUGAAAUUCGUAGAUAUUAGGAAGAACACCAGUAGCGAAGGCGGCUCACUGGCUCGAUACUGACGCUGAGGUGCGAAAGCGUGGGGAGCAAACAGGAUUAGAAACCCUAGUAGUCC